This 253-nucleotide ribosomal RNA is filed under the name uncultured bacterium. RNAcentral's name for it is "partial 16S ribosomal RNA". It matches the Rfam family "Bacterial small subunit ribosomal RNA", at positions 524 to 776 of the family's 1533-position model. The record is from RNAcentral.
UACGUAGGGAGCAAGCGUUAUCCGGAUUUAUUGGGUGCAAAGGGUGCGUAGACGGGAUUACAAGUUGGUUGUGAAACCCCUCAGCUCAACUGAGGAACUGCAACCAAAACUAUAAUUCUUGAGUGCAGGAGAGGAAAGUGGAAUUCCUAGUGUAGCGGUGAAAUGCGUAGAUAUUAGGAAGAACACCGGUGGCGAAGGCGACUUUCUGGACUGUAACUGACGUUGAGGCACGAAAGUGUGGGGAGCAAACAGG